This 836-nucleotide ribosomal RNA is filed under the name Antrodia neotropica. Its description in RNAcentral is "partial large subunit ribosomal RNA". It matches the Rfam family "Eukaryotic large subunit ribosomal RNA", at positions 87 to 909 of the family's 3401-position model. Lineage: Eukaryota; Fungi; Basidiomycota; Agaricomycetes; Polyporales; Fomitopsidaceae. The record is from RNAcentral.
UGCGGAGUGAAGCGGGAAAAGCUCAAAUUUAAAAUCUGGCGGUCUUUGGCCGUCCGAGUUGUAGUCUGGAGAAGUGCUUUCCGCGCUGGACCGUGUACAAGUCUCUUGGAACAGAGCGUCAUAGAGGGUGAGAAUCCCGUCUUUGACACGGACUACCAGUGCUUUGUGAUGCGCUCUCAAAGAGUCGAGUUGUUUGGGAAUGCAGCUCAAAAUGGGUGGUAAAUUCCAUCUAAAGCUAAAUAUUGGCGAGAGACCGAUAGCGAACAAGUACCGUGAGGGAAAGAUGAAAAGCACUUUGGAAAGAGAGUUAAACAGUACGUGAAAUUGCUGAAAGGGAAACGCUUGAAGUCAGUCGCGUUCGCCAGGACUCAGCCUUGCUUUAGUGAGGUGCAUUUUCUGGUUGACGGGCCAGCAUCGAUUUUGGUUGUCGGAUAAAGGCAGGGGGAAUGUGGCAUCUUCGGAUGUGUUAUAGCCCUCAGUCACAUACGACGGCUGGGAUCGAGGACCGCAGCACGCCUUUAUGGCCGGGGUUCGCCCACGUUCGUGCUUAGGAUGCUGGCAUAAUGGCUUUAAACGACCCGUCUUGAAACACGGACCAAGGAGUCUAACAUGCCUGCGAGUGUUUGGGUGGAAAACCCGAGCGCGUAAUGAAAGUGAAAGUUGAGAUCCCUGUCGUGGGGAGCAUCGACGCCCGGACCUGACCUUCUGUGAUGGAUCUGCGGUAGAGCAUGUAUGUUGGGACCCGAAAGAUGGUGAACUAUGCCUGAAUAGGGUGAAGCCAGAGGAAACUCUGGUGGAGGCUCGUAGCGAUUCUGACGUGCAAAUCGAUCGUCAAA